This 475-nucleotide ribosomal RNA is filed under the name uncultured bacterium. Its description in RNAcentral is "bacterial SSU rRNA". It matches the Rfam family "Bacterial small subunit ribosomal RNA", at positions 335 to 799 of the family's 1533-position model. The record is from RNAcentral.
ACUCCUACGGGAGGCAGCAGUAGGGAAUCUUCCACAAUGGGCGAAAGCCUGAUGGAGCAAUGCCGCGUGAGUGAAGAAGGUUUUCGGAUCGUAAAAACUCUGUUGUUGAAGAAGAACAUGCGUGAGAGUAACUGUUCACGUACUGACGGUAUUCAACCAGAAAGCCACGGCUAACUACGUGCCAGCAGCCGCGGUAAUACGUAGGUGGCAAGCGUUGUCCGGAUUUAUUGGGGCGUAAAGAGAAUGUAGGCGGUUUAUUAAGUUUGAAGUGAAAGCCCUCGGCUCAACCGAGGAAGUGCUUCGAAAACUGGUAAACUUGAGUGCAGAAGAGGAAAGUGGAACUCCAUGUGUAGCGGUGGAAUGCGUAGAUAUAUGGAAGAACACCAGUGGCGAAGGCGGCUUUCUGGUCUGUAACUGACGCUGAGAUUCGAAAGCAUGGGUAGCAAACAGGAUUAGAUACCCUGGUAGCACAGAG